RNAcentral lists this ribosomal RNA (485 nucleotides) under uncultured bacterium. RNAcentral describes it as "partial 16S rRNA". It matches the Rfam family "Bacterial small subunit ribosomal RNA", at positions 374 to 848 of the family's 1533-position model. The record is from RNAcentral.
GGGGCAACCCUGAUCCANCCAUUCCGCGUGAGUGAAGAAGGCCUUCGGGUNNUAAAGCUUUUUCGCAAGGGAAGAAACGAUACGGACGAAUAAUCCGUGUUAANGACGGUACCUUGNUAAGAAGCACCGGNCUAACUACGUGCCAGCAGCCGCGGUAAUACGUAGGGUGCGAGCGUUAAUCGGAAUUANUGGGCGUAAAGCGUGNGCAGGCGGUUUUGUAAGUCAGAUGUGAAAUCCCCGAGCUCAACUUGGGAACUGCGUUNGAAACUACAAGGCUAGAGUAUGGUNGAGGGGGGUAGAAUUCCACGUGUAGCAGUGAAAUGCGUAGAGAUGUGGAGGAAUACCNAUGGCGAAGGCAGCCCCCUGGACUAAUACUGACGCUCAUGCACGAAAGCGUGGGGAGCAAACAGGAUUAGAUACCCUGGUAGUCCAUCGCCCUNAACGAUGUCUACUNGUUGUUGGGAGAGUAAAAUCUNUNAGUAACG